Molecule: ribosomal RNA, 395 nt
Filed under: uncultured bacterium
Lineage: Bacteria
Description: bacterial SSU rRNA
Rfam family: Bacterial small subunit ribosomal RNA
Source: RNAcentral
AGAGUUUGAUCCUGGCUCAGAGCGAACGCUGGCGGCAGGCUUAACACAUGCAAGUCGAGCGGGCGUAGCAAUACGUCAGCGGCAGACGGGUGAGUAACGCGUGGGAACAUACCUUUUGGUUCGGAACAACACAGGGAAACUUGUGCUAAUACCGGAUAAGCCCUUACGGGGAAAGAUUUAUCGCCGAAAGAUUGGCCCGCGUCUGAUUAGCUAGUUGGUGAGGUAACGGCUCACCAAGGCGACAAUCCGUAGCUGGUCUGAGAGGACGACCAGCCACACCGGAACUGAGACACGGUCCGGACUCCUACGGGAGGCAGCAGUGGGGAAUAUUGGACAAUGGGGGAAACCCUGAUCCAGCGACGCCGCGUGUGUGAAGAAGGCCUGCGGGUUGUAAA